RNAcentral lists this long non-coding RNA (568 nucleotides) under Homo sapiens (human). RNAcentral's name for it is "HSALNT0272538". The record is from RNAcentral. Lineage: Eukaryota; Metazoa; Chordata; Mammalia; Primates; Hominidae.
CAAUACGCUGCACCACUACAGUCUUUAAGCCCGGAGAAGCAGGAAGCAGCAAGGGCGGGGGUGUGGGAGGAGUAAAAGAGCAAGACAAAAAAAUAGAGAUGAAAGGCAGUCCCCAUGCUCUGCCCCAUAAGAAUGGGCCUUGUGCCUGGAACACUUCCUUGCCAAGUUCCAGGCUCUGUGUGUGCUCCUCUGUUAGUCUUAAUCAUAUGUGUCAACGGCCCUCAAGCACACCCCCAGCUUUCAGUAUUUCAGGCCCCACAGGGGAAGGGUCAGCGUCCUACUACUGCAGUACAGGAUGGGUAUGUGAAGGCCUCUUGCCCUGCAUUGGCUGCCAGAGGGGCCCACUAGCCAUGCAAGACUCAUGCACAUUGUUGGAGCUGAUCUCACCCUGUCUCUUCUCUAUGUGGCUGGCAUUAUGAUGACCUUGUCUAUCCUCCAGAUAGUUGGAAUCUUCACCUGGCAUUGGUAACUGGUACAUGUUUUUCUGCUCAACAGUAGGCUUACAGAUGAGGUCAAGUACAAACUGGAAUAGGGAAGAAGUUUUAACUUGAAUAAACAAUUGUAUUAG